UACGGAGGGGGCAAGCGUUGUUCGGAGUUACUGGGCGUAAAGGGCGCGUAGGCGGCGCAUCAAGUCAGGCGUGAAAGCCCCGGGCUUAACCUGGGAAUUGCGCUUGAUACUGAUGUGCUAGAGAGCGGGAGAGGAUGGCGGAAUUCCCAGUGUAGAGGUGAAAUUCGUAGAGAUUGGGAAGAACACCGGUGGCGAAGGCGGCCAUCUGGACCGUUUCUGACGCUGAGGCGCGAAAGCGUGGGGAGCAAACAGG
RNAcentral lists this ribosomal RNA (253 nucleotides) under uncultured bacterium. RNAcentral's name for it is "partial 16S ribosomal RNA". It matches the Rfam family "Bacterial small subunit ribosomal RNA", at positions 524 to 776 of the family's 1533-position model. The record is from RNAcentral.